UACGUAGGGUGCAAGCGUUGUCCGGAAUUACUGGGCGUAAAGAGCUCGUAGGCGGUUUGUCGCGUCGUCUGUGAAAACUCGAGGCUCAACCUCGAGCUUGCAGGCGAUACGGGCAGACUUGAGUACUGCAGGGGAGACUGGAAUUCCUGGUGUAGCGGUGAAAUGCGUAGAUAUCUGGAGGAACACCGGUGGCGAAGGCGGCGUUCUGGACUGCAACUGACACUGAGGAACGAAAGCCAGGGGAGCAAACGGG
This 253-nucleotide ribosomal RNA is filed under the name uncultured bacterium. Its description in RNAcentral is "partial 16S ribosomal RNA". It matches the Rfam family "Bacterial small subunit ribosomal RNA", at positions 524 to 776 of the family's 1533-position model. The record is from RNAcentral.